Molecule: non-coding RNA, 1195 nt
Organism: Pelobates cultripes (western spadefoot toad)
Lineage: Eukaryota; Metazoa; Chordata; Amphibia; Anura; Pelobatidae
Source: the annotation of a GenBank genome assembly
CUUAAAAACAAGCGUCAUCCUGGGAUAAAUCCUGGAGCAGAUGGGGGUCAUUGUCAUAUAGCAGCAUUUUUAUACACAUUGGAAGAAAUGUAUUCAUUUUGUACUCUGCAUUUUUCAAGUUCUUGUGAAUUCUUAUUUCUGUUAAUGUUUUGCAAAAUCCAACUAAACACCUGAUAUAUGGGACAGCCAACAGCUAGGUGUUAAUUCAACUGCUCUGCAACUAUGACUUAGAGGUGGCGAAGCAUCCUGGGUUUUGGAGAUACUAGCUAGCCAGAUUGGCAGAGUUUACUUCAUUGUGCAGCAAAUUACAUUUCAUUAUGGUCCCCGGGCAACAUGUAUCCACAAAGAAGGAAGGGAAUUGUGAAAAUGAAUUACCAUAUGAGACACGUCCAUAUCGUAAUGAGUUUGUUAGAAAUUCCAAGAAGUAAUUUUAAUAAAACGUCCUUCUUUCCUUGCAGCUGGCUGUGUAGUCCGCUUAUCAUUAAAAUCUGAUGUAGGCGCACAGUAUGACGCACAGUAUCAUUCUUGGAGAUAACUUGGAAGAUUCUAAGAACUUGAACAUCAAAUAGAGCAGAGAUUCCAAUGUCACACGUGUUAUGGGUUUGGUUCCAUAUGGCAAAUGUGACGUCCCAUGUGUUGAGCAGAGAUGUAGAUAGAAAAAUCUAAACAAGGGCGAGGGAACAUCUUAAUGGCAUCCGGAACGCAGAAAAUGCUAAACUAGUAGCAAAACGCUGUCUGCAGCAUUAAUCGUGUUGGAAACAAAUUCAGUGUGUUGAAAAGCGUUUUCCAAUGCCAUUGAUAGUUUUUGUGCCCUUUGUUCGCCAGAAUAGGUUUUCCCAAAUCAUUUGCAUUGAUUCCUGAGCAAGCUGACGAAAUUCUGCUGACUGACUUGAAUUUUCACGCCGUACACAAGUCUACUUUGAAUUAUUGACAAUUCUCACUUUAGUAAAUAACUCUGCAAGUCUAAUUGCGAACUUUUCUGGCUUUUUGGAAUUGCGGCAAUGAAAAUGAUUAGUAAAAAGGUCUGAUAUCUCAAAGAAAUAUCUAGACUAGAAAGAGAGAAUAAGACAAAUAAGGAAAGAUAGCUCUACAACUGGAAAGUAAAGGAUCACCGAACCUUAAAGCUGCACUGUCAUGGCUGAAUCCAGGUUUUUUUUUUUUUUUAAAACCCCCUCCCAACUCCACUAAAUCUAAU